UGCAUCGAUGAAGAACGCAGCGAAAUGCGAUAAGUAAUGCGAAUUGCAGAAUUUCCGUGAGUCAUCGAAUCUUUGAACGCACAUUGCGCCCUUUGGCAUUCCGAAGGGCAUGCCUGUUCGAGCGUCAUUAUCACCCCUCAAGCCUGGCUUGAUGUUGGAUCUAGGUCUGGGAUACCCCCCACGACCGGUCCCAAAGACAAUGACGGCGUCCCCUGGACCCUUGGUGCAACGAGCUUCUUAACCGAGCACGCAUCGAGUUUCAAGGUCCCGGGGCACGGUCCUCACCUUUUUAUUAUUUACAAGGUUGACCUCGGAUCAGGUAGGGAUACCCGCUGAACUUAAGCAUAUCAAUAAGCGGAGGAA
Molecule: ribosomal RNA, 363 nt
Filed under: Pinus fenzeliana
Lineage: Eukaryota; Viridiplantae; Streptophyta; Pinopsida; Pinales; Pinaceae
Description: eukaryotic LSU rRNA
Rfam family: 5.8S ribosomal RNA (bases 1-127)
Source: RNAcentral